CAGGGUCAGGAUGGUGGUGUAUACCGUGACUACAGAAGCUCACUCAGAUGGAGUUGGCGCUGUGGCGGAGGGGAACGUUUUGCAGAACAAGAUCAAUUAUGAAAUGAGUUGUACUGUGUACUGAACUUGUACUGAACAGUUGAAUCCAAUAAAGCUCUGAAUUAAGUUGA
Molecule: long non-coding RNA, 170 nt
Organism: Colossoma macropomum (tambaqui)
Lineage: Eukaryota; Metazoa; Chordata; Actinopteri; Characiformes; Serrasalmidae
Exons: 2
Source: RefSeq, a predicted model, not a curated record